GCCUUUGUGGUGUAAUGGUCAGCACGCUCGACGCGUAACCGAGAGGUCCGUGGUUCGAUUCCCGGCGAAGGCG
This 73-nucleotide transfer RNA is filed under the name Stegodyphus mimosarum. It matches the Rfam family "tRNA". From Rfam's summary of the family: Transfer RNA (tRNA) molecules are approximately 80 nucleotides in length. Their secondary structure includes four short double-helical elements and three loops (D, anti-codon, and T loops). The record is from Rfam by way of RNAcentral. Lineage: Eukaryota; Metazoa; Arthropoda; Arachnida; Araneae; Eresidae.